GGAAACUUGUAUAAAAUACAAAUCUGCGAGGAUCAAUGACUGGUAACUACAGGGUAAAUAUAAACAUGAUUCUGUACAUGAGAUGCCAACAAAUUCAGCUACUAAGGUUUUAUAUAAAAUAUACAAACAAAUGCAAUAACCUACACAGCUAUCCAAUUGCCAAAACAAAGACCAAGUCAUAAAUUACAAUGAGGAUGAUUGUUAAUCCUUUCUGAUUCUUUUUCUUCCCUCUUCCCUUUCUUGAGAGUGCAAAAGGCAGUUGUGAUAAGGACUUGAAAAUAUUUCAACACUAAACUCAAAGACACAUGCAUACCUCGGCUAAUUUUAGCACCAAAUCUAAACUUCAAGAUACUUAACAAGGUGAAAAAACUACUUACUAAAUCUGCCUGACACCUUCACAC
This 401-nucleotide unclassified non-coding RNA is filed under the name Hevea brasiliensis (rubber tree). The record is from RNAcentral. Lineage: Eukaryota; Viridiplantae; Streptophyta; Magnoliopsida; Malpighiales; Euphorbiaceae.